This 459-nucleotide ribosomal RNA is filed under the name uncultured bacterium. RNAcentral's name for it is "partial 16S ribosomal RNA". It matches the Rfam family "Bacterial small subunit ribosomal RNA", at positions 338 to 795 of the family's 1533-position model. The record is from RNAcentral.
CCUACGGGGGGCAGCAGUGAGGAAUAUUGGUCAAUGGCCGAAAGGCUGAACCAGCCAAGCCGCGUAAAGGACGAAGGUGCCAAGCAUUGUAAACUUCUUUUGUCAAGGGACAAAAUCAGGCUCGAGAGCCUGACCGAGGGUACUUGAAGAAAAAGCAUCGGCUAACUCCGUGCCAGAAGCCGCGGUAAAACGGGGGAUUCGAGCGUUACCCGGAUUUAUUGGGGUAAAAGGGUGCGGAGGCGGACUUUUAAGGCAGCGGUAAAAGCCCGGGGCCAAACCCCGGCGAGCCGUUGAAACUGGCUGUCUUGAGAUGUCGAGAGGUAUGCGGAAUGCGCAGUGUAGCGGUGAAAUGCUUAGAUAUUGCGCAGAACUCCGAUUGCGAAGGCAGCAUACCGGCGGCGAUCUGACGCUGAGGCACGAAAGCGUGGGUAUCGAACAGGAUUAGAUACCCCAGUAGUC